RNAcentral lists this small nuclear RNA (107 nucleotides) under Dasypus novemcinctus (nine-banded armadillo). Lineage: Eukaryota; Metazoa; Chordata; Mammalia; Cingulata; Dasypodidae. The record is from RNAcentral.
GCGCUUACUUCAGCAGCAUGUUUUCUAAAAUUGGAACAGUACAGAGAAGAUUAGCAUGGCUCCUGUGCAAGGCUGACAUGCAAAUUCACGAAGCCUUCCACCUUUUU